GCUGUCUGAUGGGGUCUGUCUCCUUAGAACCUUUCUGGAGGCCAGGGCCACAUCAUGGAAGAUUGUGACCUCAAAGAGCCUGAAGGACUCCUCACUGUCAGCAGCUUCUGUCUCCAGCAUUGCAAAGCCCUGAUCCAGACCAAGCUCUCGGGGCCGCCUGGCAGCAAACAGGGGAGGCUGAUGACAUGCAGCCGCUUCCUGAAGACCCCCUCAUGCGGAGGUGGCCAGCACAUCACUAUUCCAAGGAAAAGGAUGUUCACUCCACGCAAGCUCAAAUUGACACUCUUUAAUAGCGACGUUUGCUAAAAUCAGGAGGACUUUGUACCUUUAUGAGGAAUUUUUCAUUUUCUUCCUGGCUGGAUUGAUGUGGAAACCAGAGCUGUCUGUGGAGCUGUUUUCCAGACCCCAGGCCCAUUCCUGGGAUCUCUCCAACAGGACCUGUCCUGUGUUCUGGGCUCGUCUCGGGUCUGACCAGGAGAUGGAGGAUGUGUCCUUGGCAGAGCCAAGGGGAGACAGAGGUUUCUGGGUGCCAUGACAGGCUGUCGGGGUCCAGGUGGCACCCAUGGGCCCCCUGCCCCAUGUGAAUGCUGCUGGCACCUGGUGGGGGUUGCUCAGGGAUGGACCCUGGGCAUGGCUUCUGGGCUGCUUAGUCCAGGGGGAGCAACUUGUGGCCAAAUCCAUGAGUUCAGAGGAAAAGGGGAAGGCACUGAAACGUCACCAGAGAGACAGCUGUUGAGACCGCUCAGAAACCGUCUGUCUGUCACACUGUGUCCUGGCUGCUGUGUGGUCAGGGCACCAUGAGGGUGUACAGAUGUGCUGUGUCCUCAAAGCCUCGCAGGUGCCCUCACUUAUUGCCUGGGCCCCUGCCCAGCAGCCUCAAGGACAGGCCUUUCUCCCUCACGGUUGUGGACAGGAGGUCGCACCACUGGCCUGCGAGAGCCUCUGGUGGGCCCGUGGCUUCCCCCAGUUAUCUGCCAAGGAAAACUGUGCUCUUUGAAGGGCAGAGCCAAGAAGUCAGCCCUGACUUUUGUAAAAUUUUAU
RNAcentral lists this long non-coding RNA (1041 nucleotides) under Pan troglodytes (chimpanzee). RNAcentral describes it as "long non-coding RNA NONPTRT004966". The record is from RNAcentral. Lineage: Eukaryota; Metazoa; Chordata; Mammalia; Primates; Hominidae.